Salvia splendens (bonfire salvia) is the source of this 691-nucleotide long non-coding RNA. RefSeq lists it as uncharacterized. The transcript is spliced from 3 exons. Lineage: Eukaryota; Viridiplantae; Streptophyta; Magnoliopsida; Lamiales; Lamiaceae. The record is from RefSeq and is a predicted model, not a curated record.
AUUGCUAAUGCUAAAAAUCCAGGUUUAAUUUCAUAAAUGAUUCAUUUCCUCUCCUACUAUCUCUCUCACCAUUACUUCUCGUUUCUCUUCUCACUCAUCAGUCGAUUGUGCUCCCAAAACCCUAACCUCUGCCGCGUCUCUCCCAUCCACGUGUUUCUAACGGUGAAGCCGACGAAAAAGAAGUCGAUUUGCUACCUACACCAAGUUUCUCUCACUUGACGACGAGUGACUAUUCAGAGAAGAAGAUUUUCAAGUAGAAAAUGUUGAACAAACGAGGCAAGUCGAAGAGUCGGCCUACUCAAACGACAAACAUUCAACACGAUUAAUGUAGAACAAAGAACAAUCGUCAAAUCAAGAAGACCGUUGCUCUAGGGAUUUGGGCCACGCCUAUAAAUACCAGGAAGCUUGCGAUAAAUAGGAGACUUUUUAGUUAGAAAAUUUCCUUGGCAUUUCCGGCUCACUCUCUAAAAUUCACUCACAUAGCUCACGCACUUGGUUCCAUGGAAGAUCUAGGGUAGUUUUAGCGUGGUGUUUUGUUUAGUUGGAAGGUGUACACCACUCCGAGAAGGAGUGAAGAAACAAUUUACUUUUCGCAUGUACUUUUUAUCUCGCCGAUUUCCUUGCACGAAAUCCGACGACUGCUUUGUGACUCGUUUACAGUUUAUCAUUAAUCUAGUUUCAAUUCUGUUUU